Molecule: non-coding RNA, 30 nt
Filed under: Mus musculus (house mouse)
Lineage: Eukaryota; Metazoa; Chordata; Mammalia; Rodentia; Muridae
Source: RNAcentral
UAAGAAAGAAGUAGGAAAGAAAGUGGUAAA